Molecule: ribosomal RNA, 245 nt
Filed under: uncultured Pseudomonadota bacterium
Lineage: Bacteria; Pseudomonadati; Pseudomonadota
Description: uncultured proteobacterium partial 16S ribosomal RNA
Rfam family: Bacterial small subunit ribosomal RNA
Source: RNAcentral
UACGUAGGGGGCGAGCGUUAUCCGGAUUUAUUGGGCGUAAAGCGUGUGUAGGCGGUUUAUUAAGUAUAAGAUUAAAGCCUGAGGCUUAACCUCAGUUCGUCUUAUAAACUGGUAGACUUGAGUAUGGUAGAGGCAAAUGGAAUUUCUAGUGUAGCGGUAAAAUGCGUAGAUAUUAGAAGGAACACCAGUGGCGAAGGCGGUUUGCUGGGCCAUUACUGACGCUGAGACACGAAAGCGUGGGGAGC